Non-coding RNA from Ictidomys tridecemlineatus (thirteen-lined ground squirrel), 1961 nucleotides. The record is from RefSeq and is a predicted model, not a curated record. Lineage: Eukaryota; Metazoa; Chordata; Mammalia; Rodentia; Sciuridae.
ACUGGCCUCUCUUGGCCGCAUGGGAGUAGGCGCCAGGAUACCGGGGAGAAGAGCUUAUCUUUUUCAACUGUUCAAAGAAAAACCAACCCCUGAGAAGCUCCCAAAGUCUGCAGAGCAAGCGGGUUCCUAUGACUGGUGCUCAGCGCUGCGGUGUGGGAUGGAUCGCUGUUUUCAGAAAGGUGGCAGGAGACAGCUCAGCGUCUUCUCUGACAGCCCCUGGCUUAGGGCUGGGGGUCCUUCCUACCCUCCUUGCCUUCCAGGGUCCCCUCGCAGUUUGCAAACCAGCAUGAUGAGCAGAGUCCGAGAGGGCCCCUGGCCAGGCCAACAGGGAGGAAGGUGGCAGCUCCGAGGACUGAACCGAGCCGGCCAGGCCUGGAAGGAAGGGGAGAGGAAAGUGAAAGACCCAGGGUGACUGUCCUUGUGAGCCCCACAGGCCCUUCUUCACCGCUGACCACGGGGGGUGAUCCUGUAACAAGAAGGCUUGACUUCAGGUGUCCCCAGAACCUCAGGCUGAAGACCACCCAGAGGACAGCCCUACCUCUGAAGCCCCAAGCAGCAGCCACAAGAGGCCUGAGAGGCAAUCAACCAUUUCCUAUGACUACGCGGAGGAGGAGCUGAUGGCCAGCAUAGAGCGGGAGUAUUGCCGCUGAGGCCAGCCGUGCAGGGGUGUGACCAUGGCUCCAUAGACCCUGGGCUGUGUGAGAAUCACUCCCCACCAGGGCUCAGCCGAACUCCUGCAAAACCUAGCUCUUCCUUGACUUUUCCAAACUGACUUUUCAACUUCACUUGUUGGCCAGGGCAUCAGCUGUGCAGGUACCCAGCCACAGGUGGAGACCUGUCUGUAGGGUUCUCUUGGAGCUUGAGGAUUCCUCUUGGAACAUCACCAAGGUGUGCCCUCAGUCCUCCGGCUAGUCUCCAGAGGAGGCUCGUCCACUCAGUGCAUCUGGAUUUUCAUGAGCAAUGAACCCCAUGGGAUGUGGCUGAAGUACAGAUCUGUUUCUGUAGGCCUAGUGGGGCCUGAGAUUCUGCACCUCUAACUGGCUCCCAGAAGAGCCAAAGUGCAGCACCCCAGCUGCAUUUGAGUCUGGGGUUAGGGCCUGGACUUCAGGCCUUUCUCAGCCUCCGUGGUGCUGGAGGCGUCUCCACCCCAGCUCUUUCACUAGGCUGGGAUGGCAGAGCUCCUCACUUUCCUUCUCUGGGCCCCAGCUUCCCUCUCCAAGAGAUAGUCUGGAGGCUCUUUGACAGUCUGAGAUUACACAGUUCCCACUGCCACUGAGGCCUCACCCUGCUGGUGCACAGAACUGCCUUCUGUGUUGGGAGUGGGUGUCCAGCCACCUGGACAGGGUCUCAGGGUACCUGCCGUCUAGCUCCACUCUGGCAGGUAGCCUGGCCAACCCCCACAGGGCCUUACACCCUUCCUCCCUGUGCAGAAGAUAGACAAUCCCAGCCACGAGGCCAGAAGAGCCUUCCAAUGUUCCCAGUUGACAAAUGAGAAACCUGCCGGCCCAGAACCUCCUGCAGUAAGAAAUGGUGGCAGUGUCAAGGGGCUGGAUGGAACAACAGCAGCUUUUGCUGAAGCCAUAAGAGAUCUCGGCUCUUCUCACAUUGACCCACCAACACCAAGGCCUCCCUGGGUAGCCUCCAUGUCCUGAGAAGUGCUGCCAGCACUGGGGCCAGUGAGUCUCACUGACAAGCCUUUCUGUGAACUUUCACAGUUGACAAGAGUGCCUUUGAUCAGCUGCUUGCAGCUGGGAGACUUGCACUGCGAAGUCAGAGCACAGAACAGCAGAGCCGGUCACCAGCCUCUGGGGGGUUGCCUUAGAACCUCCCCAAAGCUGGGAGCUGUUCCUCUCCUAGGCCCAAAACAUUCCUCUUGAUAUAAAGAUGAAAGUCAUUACUAUUUUAAUAAUGUGAAUGCUUAUUUUAAAAGAAAUUAAACUUUUAUUUCUUACUGCCAGGUA